AUUAGAGUUUGAUAGUGGCUCAGAUUGAACGCUGGCGGCAGGCCUAACACAUGCAAGUCGAACGGUAACAGGAAGCAGCUUGCUGCUUCGCUGACGAGUGGCGGACGGGUGAGUAAUGUCUGGGAAACUGCCUGAUGGAGGGGGAUAACUACUGGAAACGGUAGCUAAUACCGCAUAACGUCGCAAGACCAAAGAGGGGGACCUUCGGGCCUCUUGCCAUCGGAUGUGCCCAGAUGGGAUUAGCUAGUAGGUGGGGUAACGGCUCACCUAGGCGACGAUCCCUAGCUGGUCUGAGAGGAUGACCAGCCACACUGGAACUGAGACACGGUCCAGACUCCUACGGGAGGCAGCAGUGGGGAAUAUUGCACAAUGGGCGCAAGCCUGAUGCAGCCAUGCCGCGUGUAUGAAGAAGGCCUUCGGGUUGUAAAGUACUUUCAGCGGGGAGGAAGGGAGUAAAGUUAAUACCUUUGCUCAUUGACGUUACCCGCAGAAGAAGCACCGGCUAACUCCGUGCCAGCAGCCGCGGUAAUACGGAGGGUGCAAGCGUUAAUCGGAAUUACUGGGCGUAAAGCGCACGCAGGCGGUUUGUUAAGUCAGAUGUGAAAUCCCCGGGCUCAACCUGGGAACUGCAUCUGAUACUGGCAAGCUUGAGUCUCGUAGAGGGGGGGUAGAAUUCUAGGUGUAGCGGUGAAAUGCGUAGAGAUCUGGAGGAAUACCGGUGGCGAAGGCGGCCCCCUGGACGAAGACUGACGCUCAGGUGCGAAAGCGUGGGGGAGCAAACAGGAUUAGAUACCCUGGUAGUCCACGCCGUAAACGAUGUCGACUUGGAGGUUGUGCCCUUGAGGCGUGGCUUCCGGAGCUAACGCGUUAAGUCGACCGCCUGGGGGAGUACGGCCGCAAGGUUAAAACUCAAAUGAAUUGACGGGGGCCCGCACAAGCGGUGGAGCAUGUGGUUUAAUUCGAUGCAACGCGAAGAACCUUACCUGGUCUUGACAUCCACAGAACUUUCCAGAGAUGGAUUGGUGCCUUCGGGAACUGUGAGACAGGUGCUGCAUGGCUGUCGUCAGCUCGUGUUGUGAAAUGUUGGGUUAAGUCCCGCAACGAGCGCAACCCUUAUCCUUUGUUGCCAGCGGUCCGGCCGGGAACUCAAAGGAGACUGCCAGUGAUAAACUGGAGGAAGGUGGGGAUGACGUCAAGUCAUCAUGGCCCUUACGACCAGGGCUACACACGUGCUACAAUGGCGCAUACAAAGAGAAGCGACCUCGCGAGAGCAAGCGGACCUCAUAAAGUGCGUCGUAGUCCGGAUUGGAGUCUGCAACUCGACUCCAUGAAGUCGGAAUCGCUAGUAAUCGUGGAUCAGAAUGCCACGGUGAAUACGUUCCCGGGCCUUGUACACACCGCCCGUCACACCAUGGGAGUGGGUUGCAAAAGAAGUAGGUAGCUUAACCUUCGGGAGGGCGCUUACCACUUUGUGAUUCAUGACUGGGGUGAAGUCGUAACAAGGUAACCGUAGGGGAACCUGCGGUUGGAUCACCUCCUUUGUGAAU
RNAcentral lists this ribosomal RNA (1547 nucleotides) under uncultured Escherichia sp. Its description in RNAcentral is "bacterial SSU rRNA". It matches the Rfam family "Bacterial small subunit ribosomal RNA". Lineage: Bacteria; Pseudomonadati; Pseudomonadota; Gammaproteobacteria; Enterobacterales; Enterobacteriaceae. The record is from RNAcentral.